RNAcentral lists this ribosomal RNA (261 nucleotides) under uncultured prokaryote. Its description in RNAcentral is "partial 16S ribosomal RNA". It matches the Rfam family "Bacterial small subunit ribosomal RNA", at positions 524 to 784 of the family's 1533-position model. The record is from RNAcentral.
UACGUAGGUGGCAAGCGUUAUCCGUAAUUAUUGGGCGUAAAGAGCGCGCAGGUGGUUGAUUAAGUCUGAUGUGAAAGCCCACGGCUUAACCGUGGAGGGUCAUUGGAAACUGGUCGACUUGAGUGCAGAAUAGGGAAGUGGAAUUCCAUGUGUAGCGGUGAAAUGCGUAGAGAUAUGGAGGAACACCAGUGGCGAAGGCGGCUUCCUGGUCUGUAACUGACACUGAGGCGCGAAAGCGUGGGGAGCAAACAGGAUUAGAUA